RNAcentral lists this long non-coding RNA (323 nucleotides) under Chelonoidis abingdonii (Abingdon island giant tortoise). RNAcentral describes it as "lncRNA (ENSCABG00000020121.1)". Lineage: Eukaryota; Metazoa; Chordata; Testudines; Testudinidae. The record is from RNAcentral.
AGCGGCUAGCUGGGGACCUGCGGGAGUGACGGGCGCGGGCGCAGGGGAGCGCAGCGACAGCGGGACGGUCCAGGCAGCGGAGAGCGCCAUGGCGGAGUGCGCAGGUGCAGGCAGGAAAGCACGAAGCAACCUGGCAAAGGAGAGAUUCCCACGAUCCCAUCCUCCGUUCAUAUGUGAAGAUCUCAUCAAUCAUCACAGUCCCUCUCACAUGCUGUCAGCCUUAUGCUUUAGCUUCACGUUACAGAACAGUGUUGGGAAUCCUGCUCACCUGAGAAGCUGCAGGAAAAAGCUCUAGGAGUGCUUCUAAUUGCUGCUGACCCUGG